RNAcentral lists this ribosomal RNA (253 nucleotides) under uncultured bacterium. RNAcentral's name for it is "partial 16S ribosomal RNA". It matches the Rfam family "Bacterial small subunit ribosomal RNA", at positions 524 to 776 of the family's 1533-position model. The record is from RNAcentral.
UACAGAGGGUGCGAGCGUUGUUCGGAAUUAUUGGGCGUAAAGGGCGCGUAGGCGGCGCGGUAAGUCACCUGUGAAAUCUCCUGGCUCAACUGGGAGCUUGCAGGCGAAACUGCCGUGCUGGAGUGUGGGAGAGGUGCGUGGAAUUCCUGGUGUAGCGGUGAAAUGCGUAGAUAUCUGGAGGAAUACCGGUGGCGAAGGCGGCAUCCUGGACCGAGAUUGACGCUGAGGAGCGAAAGCUAGGGGAGCAAACGGG